Helicoverpa zea (corn earworm) is the source of this 1274-nucleotide long non-coding RNA. RefSeq lists it as uncharacterized. The record is from RefSeq and is a predicted model, not a curated record. The transcript is spliced from 2 exons. NCBI's taxonomy places the organism in Eukaryota, Metazoa, Arthropoda, Insecta, Lepidoptera, Noctuidae.
GAUGUUGGUGAUGAUGAAAUUCGUCUAGUUAAUAAGUUGACUGAAAGUCACAUAAAUAAAGAAAAAUUAAAAAAAUGAAGGUUAAAUUAGCUGCGCAAGUAUUUAGCCAAAGAGUUUCAUCAGCGCUUCGGUUUUCAGGAAAACAUGGAAUUUUGCCGGCAGAAUGCGAGGGAACCGCUGAUUUUCUUUUAAUAUUCGAUAAAUUAUUUGAUUCUUUUAAAUUUUUAAUUCCUAUCAAGAUGAUUCAAAAUUGUACAAGAGUUGUGUGAAAAAGAAUUCCCCUCACUUCCAACUAUGGGAUGAUUUACUUCCUACAUUAGAAUCAAUUAGAUUUAAAUCAAUCAGUAAAAAAAAAUGGUAUUGAUCAAAUUAAAUAUGAGAUGAUUCCUUCACUAAAGAAUUGGAUACUUAAUAUAAAAACUUUUAAGGAAAUGUGGGAGUAUUUAUCAUCCAAUUAUAAAAUAACAAAUUUAAUCACAAGAAAUUUUAAUCAAGAUCCAUUAGAAAACUUUUUUAGUAGUAUUAGAAGCAAUGGUGUCAGAAAUAUAAAUCCAAAUUGCUAUCGAUUUAUUAAUGCAUAUAAAACAUUGAUUGUUAAUAAUUAUAAUUCACCACAUUCUGCAGGUGCCAAUUGCAGGAAGAUUAUAAUUCAGUUAUGCAAUCAUUAUCAUGUCUAAUCGGAAGCAAUCGGGCUGAUUCAAAUACUGUUGAUUCUGCAUGUAACAUUGAUUCCUUGCUUAAUGUGAUGACAGAAAUAAAAAAGAAUGAUUCUCUAUUGCAUGCUGAAUCGAAAAAAUAUGUAACAGGGUAUGUAAUUAAGAAAUCAAAGACAAAAGUUUUCAAAAGUUGUACUAAUUGUGUGAAUAAUUGUGUAGAUCUAGUGCUGAUUUGGAAUCGUUUAAUUAUGAAAUUGAUUAUACAAAAAGAUCAUUAUUUCACCCAAGUGACAAAUUUAUAGAUUUAAUGAAUAAUAUGUAUUAUGUGAUUGUUGCAUGUCUUCGAAAUAACCCAACAUCAAAAUUUUUAAAGGAUGAAAUCAAGUUUUACAUUGAUUGUGCACGUGAUUUUAAUAUAAUAACUUGUAGGAAACAUAAAGGUGAUUUGAUUGAUUUCAUUAUUAAUCUUUCAAUUAAAUUGAUUGUACAUAGUUGGUGUUUGGGGGUAAAUAGAUUAUUAAAUGGAAAAAUUAGAUGUUUUGAUAGGAAUGACCAAAUCAAAAAGCAAGCAUUUGAUUAUUAUAAUAAGAGAAAAAAAUAAAAGAAAAUAAUAACUUA